GUGGGUAACCUGCCUCAAAGUGGGGGAUAGCCUUCCGAAAGGAAGAUUAAUACCGCAUAACAUAAGAGAAUCGCAUGAUUUUCUUAUCAAAGAUUUAUUGCUUUGAGAUGGACCCGCGGCGCAUUAGCUAGUUGGUAAGGUAACGGCUUACCAAGGCAACGAUGCGUAGCCGACCUGAGAGGGUGAUCGGCCACAUUGGAACUGAGACACGGUCCAGACUCCUACGGGAGGCAGCAGUGGGGAAUAUUGCGCAAUGGGGGAAACCCUGACGCAGCAACGCCGCGUGGGUGAUGAAGGUCUUCGGAUUGUAAAGCCCUGUUUUCUGGGACGAUAAUGACGGUACCAGAGGAGGAAGCCACGGCUAACUACGUGCCAGCAGCCGCGGUAAUACGUAGGUGGCGAGCGUUGUCCGGAUUUACUGGGCGUAAAGGGUGCGUAGGCGGAUGUUUAAGUGGGAUGUGAAAUCCCCGGGCUUAACCUGGGGGCUGCAUUCCAAACUGGAUAUCUAGAGUGCAGGAGAGGAAAGCGGAAUUCCUAGUGUAGCGGUGAAAUGCGUAGAGAUUAGGAAGAACACCAGUGGCGAAGGCGGCUUUCUGGACUGUAACUGACGCUGAGGCACGAAAGCGUGGGUAGCAAACAGGAUUAGAUACCCUGGUAGUCCACGCCGUAAACGAUGGAUACUAGGUGUAGGGGGUAUCAACUCCCCCUGUGCCGCAGUUAACACAAUAAGUAUCCCGCCUGGGGGAGUACGGUCGCAAGAUUAAAACUCAAAGGAAUUGACGGGGGGCCCGCACAAGCAGCGGAGCAUGUGGUUUAAUUUCGAAGCAACGCGAAGAACCUUACCUGGACUUGACAUCCCUUGCAUAGCCUAGAGAUAGGUGAAGCCCUUCGGGGCAAAGGAGACAGGUGGUGGCAUGGGUUUGUCGUCAGCUCGUGUCGUGAGAUGUUUAGGUUAAGGUCCCUGCAACGAGCGGCAAACCCUUGAUUAAUUAGUGCCUACCCAUUAAGGUUUGAGCCACUCUAUGCAGACCUG
This 1033-nucleotide ribosomal RNA is filed under the name Clostridium sp. RNAcentral describes it as "bacterial SSU rRNA". It matches the Rfam family "Bacterial small subunit ribosomal RNA", at positions 117 to 1152 of the family's 1533-position model. The record is from RNAcentral. Lineage: Bacteria; Bacillati; Bacillota; Clostridia; Eubacteriales; Clostridiaceae.